Molecule: ribosomal RNA, 369 nt
Filed under: uncultured bacterium
Lineage: Bacteria
Description: bacterial SSU rRNA
Rfam family: Bacterial small subunit ribosomal RNA
Source: RNAcentral
AACGAACGCUGGCGGCAGGCCUAACACAUGCAAGUCGAACGCUCCAGCAAUGGAGAGUGGCAGACGGGUGAGUAACGCGUGGGAACCUACCCUACGGUUCAGAAUAGCCCAGGGAAACUUGGGGUAAUACCGGAUACGCCCUUACGGGGAAAGAUUUAUCGCCGUUGGAUGGGCCCGCGUCGGAUUAGCUAGUUGGUGAGGUAACGGCUCACCAAGGCGACGAUCCGUAGCUGGUCUGAGAGGANGAUCAGCCACACUGGGACUGAGACACGGCCCAGACUCCUACGGGAGGCAGCAGUGGGGAAUAUUGGACAAUGGGCGCAAGCCUGAUCCAGCCAUGCCGCGUGAGUGACGAAGGCCUUCGGUUGU